AGAGUUUGAUCAUGGCUCAGGAUGAACGCUGGCGGCGUGCUUAACACAUGCAAGUCGAACGAGGUCCAUGGAGCUUGCUCCGGAAGGCCUAGUGGCGAACGGGUGCGUAACACGUGAGAAACCUGCCCCGAUCUCUGGGAUAACAGUUGGAAACGACUGCUAAUACCGGAUGCCGUCACACCGCUUCAUGGCGGAGUGCCGAAAGAUUUAUCGGAUCGGGAGGGUCUCGCGGCCUAUCAGCUAGUUGGAGAGGUAACGGCUCACCAAGGCAUCGACGGGUAGCUGGUCUGAGAGGAUGAUCAGCCACACUGGGACUGAGACACGGCCCAGACUCCUACGGGAGGCAGCAGUGGGGAAUCUUGCACAAUGGGCGAAAGCCUGAUGCAGCAACGCCGCGUGCGGGAAGAAGGCCCUAGGGUUGUAAACCGCUUUCAGUAGGGAAGAAAAUGACGGUACCUACAGAAGAAGGUGCGGCCAACUACGUGCCAGCAGCCGCGGUGACACGUAGGCACCAAGCGUUAUCCGGAUUUAUUGGGCGUAAAGAGCUCGUAGGCGGUUUGGUAAGUCGGGUGUGAAAACUCUGGGCUCAACCCAGAGAGGCCACCCGAUACUGCUAUGACUAGAGUACGGUAGGGGAGCGGGGAAUUCAUGGUGUAGCGGUGAAAUGCGCAGAUAUCAUGAGGAACACCAGCGGCGAAGGCGCCGCUCUGGGCCGUAACUGACGCUGAGGAGCGAAAGCAUGGGUAGCAAACAGGAUUAGAUACCCUGGUAGUCCAUGCCGUAAACGUUGGGCACUAGGUGUGGGUCUCAACCAACGAGAUCCGCGCCGUCGCUAACGCAUUAAGUGCCCCGCCUGGGGAGUACGGUCGCAAGACUAAAACUCAAAGGAAUUGACGG
Molecule: ribosomal RNA, 897 nt
Filed under: uncultured bacterium
Lineage: Bacteria
Description: bacterial SSU rRNA
Rfam family: Bacterial small subunit ribosomal RNA
Source: RNAcentral